UUUGAAAGUCACAUUCAGUGCCAUUAGUAUUAUACAGAGAACCUUUACAAAGAGCUGUUUGUCUGUGCAGGUAUUUCUGUGGCCAUAUAUUGCUCUGUGUACCAGGUGGCAUUUAUCUACAAAAGCAGUGUGCAUCUUUCUGCUCACUGGGUUCAUAUACAAGAGAUGAAUUUCCUGUAUGUUAAAAUAUAAAAAUAUCAGAAGGACAUAGUCAUUUUCACCAGUCUUAGCUUGCAAAUCUCUGAAUGAGGCCAAUUAGGUCUGGGUGGAGAAGGAGCUCAAGAAGAGAAGGCCAUUUGAAGGAAAUACCCCUUUGGUGAGUUCAGUAGAAAGACCAUCUGCUGAGCUUGUGCUGUCUUUCAUUCUGCAAAUCCAGUUAGAAAUUCAAGGGCAUGUUUCUGUAUUUACUAUACCAGAUGCAUUUUUCUUGUGGAUGCAGACCUAUAAGGUGACAAAUCUGUCUGGUGAUGGGGAAAACCAGUUUGCAUCAUCAAUAGUUGAAACAAGGUAAAAAGCAAAACAAACAGCAGGUACAAGAAAAGUAAAAAUCAGACGUCUGAAAGGAUUUUUUCAGGAUAACAGCUUUAAUCUCAGGAUUCCUGCAGACCUCUUUGGUACUAUGGAGCUUCCCUUCCAUGACCACAGGUCCAAGGAAUUGCAGAGGAACAAAGCAAGGAUCUGCUUUGCAAGGAGAAGAGCCUUGAGGGAGAGCACCGGGGUCCAUUCAGUCCCUAUUAAAAGCACUGGGAGUGAAGUCAAAUUGAGGAAGAACCUCCUUGGGUGGGCAGAACAAAGUCACAGAGCCCAUGGGAAGGCAGUGCCGCAUGAUGAGGAGCUGUGCCAGGGCUGGAGAAAGCCUGAGUCCUGCUGCAUCCCGAAGGAAGCAGAGAUGAUGGGCUUGUGUGGCUUCAAGCAUAAGGUAAAAAGGAAGAUUUUGCACAAAGCAGGAUUAAGCCGUGAAGACAGAAUUUCAGAAGAGCAGUGCAGCCCCCAUUUCAUUUCCUAUGGCGCAGAGAGCACGCAGCAUUCAGGAUGGUCACAUCUAGUAGAACAUACCCGUGAUGUUACCACAGCGUUGCUCCAUCAGCAGGCAGCGGCACACAGCAGGGACGGAGCCAGGCAUGCAGCAUGGCCAGCACACAGCCCUGCCGAGAGCCCACCAUGCACUCCUCUGCCUUGCGUCACCACUUCAGCCCAAGCUCCUGAGCCAACGUCUCUGCCCCACAUUCAGCUCCAAGCAUUCUGAAGGUGAGUCUGUGCCACCUUGCCCAGUGUGAUGCACUGAUUGAUGCUCUGUUGCAGUCAUUACAUGUCCUGGUGGUUUGCAGGAUAAUGCUGUGCAACUUAACGAUAUCACAGUUGCACAAAUCAAGUGGAAGAAGCCAAGGUCUAGAAUCUCCAGCAUUCAAUUCUUCUAAUGGCCUUGGGCUCAUCUGCAGCAGGCAGGGUCACAGGGCAUGGUUUAUAGAAAAAUUUCAUACCUGAACACCCCAAAAGCUGUUGCAGUGGCCUGGGGUGCUUGGCCUUUCAGGGCCCUCAGUGAUACUUACACAGAAUGUAUGGGCAGAAGACUGAGUGCCAACAUGUGCUCUUGGAUCUCAGUUAGUAAAGUGUGACUCUGCAAGUUGUUUCAAUAAAUCAACUCUUUGAAAUUUAAUGAGGGAACUG
Phasianus colchicus (ring-necked pheasant) is the source of this 1668-nucleotide long non-coding RNA. The record is from Ensembl. NCBI's taxonomy places the organism in Eukaryota, Metazoa, Chordata, Aves, Galliformes, Phasianidae.